RNAcentral lists this ribosomal RNA (447 nucleotides) under uncultured Hyphomicrobiales bacterium. RNAcentral's name for it is "bacterial SSU rRNA". It matches the Rfam family "Bacterial small subunit ribosomal RNA", at positions 29 to 523 of the family's 1533-position model. Lineage: Bacteria; Pseudomonadati; Pseudomonadota; Alphaproteobacteria; Hyphomicrobiales. The record is from RNAcentral.
AACGAACGCUGGCGGCAGGCUUAACACAUGCAAGUCGAGCGCCCCGCAAGGGGAGCGGCAGACGGGUGAGUAACGCGUGGGAAUCUACCUUUUGCUACGGAAUAACGCAGGGAAACUUGUGCUAAUACCGUAUGUGUCCUUCGGGAGAAAGAUUUAUCGGCAAGAGAUGAGCCCGCGUUGGAUUAGCUAGUUGGUGGGGUAAAGGCCUACCAAGGCGACGAUCCAUAGCUGGUCUGAGAGGAUGAUCAGCCACAUUGGGACUGAGACACGGCCCUAACUCCUACGGGAGGCAGCAGUGGGGAAUAUUGGACAAUGGGCGCAAGCCUGAUCCAGCCAUGCCGCGUGAGUGAUGAAGGCCCUAGGGUUGUAAAGCUCUUUCACCGGAGAAGAUAAUGACGGUAUCCGGAGAAGAAGCCCCGGCUAACUUCGUGCCAGCCGCCGCGGUAA